Molecule: non-coding RNA, 148 nt
Filed under: Homo sapiens (human)
Lineage: Eukaryota; Metazoa; Chordata; Mammalia; Primates; Hominidae
Source: Rfam by way of RNAcentral
GCCGGGCGUGGUGGCGCAUGCCUGUAAUCCCAGCUACCUGGGAGGCUGAGGCAGGAGAAUUGCUUGAACCCGGGAGGUAGAGACUGCAGUGAGCUGAGAUCAUGCCACUACACUCCAGCCUGGGUGACAGGGUGAAACUCUGUCUCCA